Polyodon spathula (Mississippi paddlefish) is the source of this 439-nucleotide long non-coding RNA. RefSeq lists it as uncharacterized. NCBI's taxonomy places the organism in Eukaryota, Metazoa, Chordata, Actinopteri, Acipenseriformes, Polyodontidae. The record is from RefSeq and is a predicted model, not a curated record. The transcript is spliced from 4 exons.
CACACCAGUACUUCGAUUUCAACAAGACAUUUGCAUGAUACAGUAUCAAUUUAAAACCAUUGUUGGACUGUCCUGUUGGAAAUUUCAGCAAGGAGCAGCACUGAUCUAUAGAGGCUUGGGGGGUUUUAUAACAGAUCAGAAGACCAGCUUGGACCAAUUUAGGAUCCACAAAAGACGACUAAACUAUUCGGGAGCUGUAGUGAGAUGCCAGUAUUAAACCCGGACUACACUUCACCACUAUACACCACUGGAUUUCACCACUUCCACCAAGAGCACUUAUUCUGGACUCUGUGAACGUGUUGUGUUUAUUUGUGUUUAUUCAUGCUUUGUUAUUUCUGGACUGAAAUCCUGUUUACGAACUGAGCGAUACACAUUGUUGUGUAGAGCCCCUUUGUUAUUUAAAUGUUGCAGGCACGCAACCCAGCCUAUUAACCCUUUG